AAUUCUCAAUCUCUACAAACUUGUGUUGUUAGUAGAUUGGAGGUGGGGGUUUUGUGGGCGUAUCUUGUGUAUACCCACUCCUCUGAAAACCAUUAGCUGGAAUGCCUUUGCAAAACCAACUAUCAGUAUGAUAAUUAUCUACUCUGAUGUUGUUGUAAAGGGAAUCUGCUUUCAAACCGUCGUUAUGACACUUUGAAUCC
RNAcentral lists this unclassified non-coding RNA (200 nucleotides) under Conocybe subovalis. RNAcentral describes it as "partial internal transcribed spacer 2". The record is from RNAcentral. Lineage: Eukaryota; Fungi; Basidiomycota; Agaricomycetes; Agaricales; Bolbitiaceae.